GAUGAACGCUGGCGGCGUGCCUAAUACAUGCAAGUCGAACGCUUUGUCUUUAAUUGAUAUGAAGAGCUUGCUCUGAUUUGAUUUUAUCUGACAAAGAGUGGCGAACGGGUGAGUAACACGUGGGUAACCUACCUCUUAGCAGGGGAUAACAUUUGGAAACAAGUGCUAAUACCGUAUAACACUAACAACCGCAUGGUUGUUAGUUGAAAGAUGGUUCUGCUAUCACUAAGAGAUGGACCCGCGGUGCAUUAGCUAGUUGGUAAGGUAAUGGCUUACCAAGGCGAUGAUGCGUAGCCGAGUUGAGAGACUGAUCGGCCACAAUGGGACUGAGACACGGCCCAUACUCCUACGGGAGGCAGCAGUAGGGAAUCUUCCACAAUGGGCGCAAGCCUGAUGGAGCAACGCCGCGUGUGUGAUGAAGGGUUUCGGCUCGUAAAACACUGUUAUAAGAGAAGAACGACAUUGAGAGUAACUGUUCAGUGUGUGACGGCAUCUUAUCAGAAAGGAACGGCUAAAUACGUG
RNAcentral lists this ribosomal RNA (522 nucleotides) under uncultured bacterium. RNAcentral's name for it is "partial 16S ribosomal RNA". It matches the Rfam family "Bacterial small subunit ribosomal RNA", at positions 28 to 507 of the family's 1533-position model. The record is from RNAcentral.